This 216-nucleotide ribosomal RNA is filed under the name Glomeromycotina sp. RNAcentral's name for it is "partial small subunit ribosomal RNA". The stretch from base 46 to 216 matches the Rfam family "Eukaryotic small subunit ribosomal RNA", at positions 692 to 864 of the family's 1831-position model. Lineage: Eukaryota; Fungi; Glomeromycota. The record is from RNAcentral.
GGGUCAGUAGGUUGGUCGUGCCACCGGUACGUACUGGUCUCACCGAUUCCUCCUUCCUGAAGAACCGUAAUGCCGUUAAUUUGGUGUUGCGGGGAAACAGGACUGUUACUUUGAAAAAAUUAGAGUGUUUAAAGCAAGCUAACGCUUGAAUACAUUAGCAUGGAAUAAUGAAAUAGGACGAUCGAUCCUAUUUUGUUGGUUUCUAGGAUUGACGUA